Moniliophthora roreri is the source of this 83-nucleotide non-coding RNA. NCBI's taxonomy places the organism in Eukaryota, Fungi, Basidiomycota, Agaricomycetes, Agaricales, Marasmiaceae. The record is from Rfam.
GGCUUCCUGGCGCAAUGGUAGCGCGUUUGGCUUCGAUUACCAAGCGUACCAAAAGGUUGCAGUUUCGAGUACUGCGGAGGUCA